CAUGCGCUGCUACCAUGCAGUCGAACGUGAUCCGCCCUUCGGGGUGGUGAAAGUGGCGCACGGGUGAGUAACGCGUGGAUAAUCUGCCCGAGGAUUUGGGAUAACAUCUCGAAAGGGGUGCUAAUACCGAAUAAGCCCACGGGGUCUACGGAUCUUGCGGGAAAAGGGGGGGACCUUCGGGCCUCCUGUCCUUGGAUGAGUCUGCGUACCAUUAGCUAGUUGGUGGGGUAAUGGCCUACCAAGGCGACGAUGGUUAGCUGGUCUGAGAGGAUGAUCAGCCACACUGGAACUGAGACACGGUCCAGACUCCUACGGGAGGCAGCAGUGGGGAAUUUUGCGCAAUGGGGGAAACCCUGACGCAGCAACGCCGCGUGGGUGAUGAAGGCCUUCGGGUCGUAAAGCUCUGUCUGGAGGGAAGAAAUGAUUGGGAGCUAAUACCUCUUGAUCUUGACGGUACCUCUGAAGGAAGCACCGGCUAACUCCGUGCCAGCAGCCGCGGUAAUACGGAGGGUGCAAGCGUUGUUCGGAAUUAUUGGGCGUAAAGCGCGUGUAGGCGGUCUUUUAAGUCUGAUGUGAAAGCCCCGGGCUCAACCUGGGAAGUGCAUUGGAAACUGGGAGGCUUGAGUACGGGAGAGGAGAGUGGAAUUCCUAGUGUAGGAGUGAAAUCCGUAGAUAUUAGGAGGAACACCGGUGGCGAAGGCGGCUCUCUGGACCGAUACUGACGCUGAGACGCGAAAGCGUGGGGUAGCAAACAGGAUUAGAUACCCUGGUAGUCCACGCCGUAACGAUGAGUACAAAGGUGUUUGCGGGUAUUGACCCC
This 820-nucleotide ribosomal RNA is filed under the name uncultured Geobacter sp. Its description in RNAcentral is "bacterial SSU rRNA". It matches the Rfam family "Bacterial small subunit ribosomal RNA", at positions 43 to 838 of the family's 1533-position model. Lineage: Bacteria; Pseudomonadati; Thermodesulfobacteriota; Desulfuromonadia; Geobacterales; Geobacteraceae. The record is from RNAcentral.